RNAcentral lists this non-coding RNA (185 nucleotides) under Leptolyngbya sp. 'hensonii'. RNAcentral describes it as "6S / SsrS RNA". It matches the Rfam family "6S / SsrS RNA". From Rfam's summary of the family: E. coli 6S RNA was the first non coding RNA to be sequenced, but its function was unknown until recently. It consists of 184 nucleotides that fold into an extended hairpin structure with a large single-stranded internal bulge. The record is from Rfam by way of RNAcentral. Lineage: Bacteria; Bacillati; Cyanobacteriota; Cyanophyceae; Leptolyngbyales; Leptolyngbyaceae.
GUUCUACUGCGGCGUUGGUGACUGCCAAUAAUGUUUUAUGAUCUAUGUUUUUGGAAUAAGGGAACCUUAACAAGCGCUGGCAGCAGUAGACCGGGCAUGUACCCGGAAACUUUAAGCCAGCCUACGGUGCCCACCUGGUUUUUACCAGGUCAAAAACUGAGGUAAGACGGCGUUGCGGGGAACUU